UACAGAGGGUGCGAGCGUUAAUCGGAAUUACUGGGCGUAAAGCGUGCGUAGACGGCUAUCUAAGUCGGGUGUGAAAGCCCCGGGCUCAACCUGGGAAUUGCAUUCGAGACUGAAUAGCUAGGGUACGGUAGAGGGAAGUGGAAUUUCCGGUGUAGCGGUGAAAUGCGUAGAUAUCGGGAGGAACAUCAGUGGCGAAGGCGGCUCUCUGGGACGGUACUGACGCUGAGACGCGAAAGCGUGGGGAGCGAACAGG
Molecule: ribosomal RNA, 253 nt
Filed under: uncultured bacterium
Lineage: Bacteria
Description: partial 16S ribosomal RNA
Rfam family: Bacterial small subunit ribosomal RNA
Source: RNAcentral